AACGAACGCUGGUGGCGUGUUUUAUACAUGCAAGUCGAGCGAGGACGGUAGCAAUACCGAGCCGAGCGGCGAACGGGUGAGUAACGCGUAAGCAAUCUGCCCCACAAUCGGGAACAACCGUGCCAACGCGCGGCUAAUGCCGGAUAUUGUAGUCUACUGCAUAGUAGGCCAACGAAAGAUUUAUUGUUGUGGGAUGAGCUUGCGUCCGAUUAGCUAGUUGGCGGGGUAAUAGCCCACCAAGGCGACGAUCGGUAGCCGGCCUGAGAGGGUGAUCGGCCACAUUGGGACUGAGAUACGGCCCAGACUCCUACGGGAGGCAGCAGUAGGGAAUAUUGCGCAAUGGGGGGAACCCUGACGCAGCAACGCCACGUGUGGGAAGAAGCAUUUCGGUGUGUAAACCACUGUCGGAAAGGAAUAACGGAAGACUUCGGUCUUUAUGAAUGUACUUUUAGAGGAAGCACCGGCAAACUUCGUG
RNAcentral lists this ribosomal RNA (475 nucleotides) under uncultured bacterium. Its description in RNAcentral is "bacterial SSU rRNA". It matches the Rfam family "Bacterial small subunit ribosomal RNA", at positions 29 to 507 of the family's 1533-position model. RNAcentral also lists the same sequence under 1 other name. The record is from RNAcentral.